GACGAACGCUGGCGGCGUGCUUAACACAUGCAAGUCGAACGGAAAGGCCCUGCUUUUGUGGGGUGCUCGAGUGGCGAACGGGUGAGUAACACGUGAGUAACCUGCCCUUGACUUUGGGAUAACUUCAGGAAACUGGGGCUAAUACCGGAUAGGAGCUCCUGCUGCAUGGUGGGGGUUGGAAAGUUUCGGCGGUUGGGGAUGGACUCGCGGCUUAUCAGCUUGUUGGUGGGGUAGUGGCUUACCAAGGCUUUGACGGGUAGCCGGCCUGAGAGGGUGACCGGCCACAUUGGGACUGAGAUACGGCCCAGACGCCUACGGGAGGCAGCAGUGGGGAAUAUUGCACAAUGGGCGGAAGCCUGAUGCAGCAACGCCGGGUGCGGGAUGACGGCCUUCGGGUGGUAAACCGCUUUCGCCUGUGACGAAGCGUGAGUGACGGUAAUGGGUAAAGAAGCACCGGCUAACUACGUG
This 468-nucleotide ribosomal RNA is filed under the name uncultured bacterium. RNAcentral's name for it is "partial 16S ribosomal RNA". It matches the Rfam family "Bacterial small subunit ribosomal RNA", at positions 28 to 507 of the family's 1533-position model. The record is from RNAcentral.